UACGUAGGGGGCAAGCGUUGUCCGGAUUUAUUGGGCGUAAAGAGCGUGUAGGCGGCCUGGAAGGUCAGCUGUGAAAACUCGAGGCUCAACCUCGAGACGUCGGUUGAAACCACCUGGCUAGAGUCCGGAAGAGGAGAGUGGAAUUCCCGGUGUAGCGGUGAAAUGCGCAGAUAUCGGGAAGAACACCCGUGGCGAAGGCGGCUCUCUGGGACGGUACUGACGCUGAGGCGCGAAAGCGUGGGGAGCGAACAGG
This 253-nucleotide ribosomal RNA is filed under the name uncultured bacterium. Its description in RNAcentral is "partial 16S ribosomal RNA". It matches the Rfam family "Bacterial small subunit ribosomal RNA", at positions 524 to 776 of the family's 1533-position model. The record is from RNAcentral.